CAGCACGUGACUGACACACGUAGCCCAUCACACCCAGAGGCUGUCUGCUCACCUGGCAAAGAAAUGUCCUCAGGAGGGCUAUGCAGCAAUUUGAACAAUCCUACAAACUCAUUUUGAUGAGUUCUGUCCUCUGGACCGAGCCGAGGAAACAGGCACCAGAGACCAGACCAGAGCUGGGAAAGCCGGACGCGGCUGGCUCCCAGGAUUCACGGGAAUGUCGGAUCUUUCACCUCUGCUGUCCUCUCUCCCUUCUUCUUCAAGCACUGAGAGCUGUUCACAGUGGCCUGAUGUAAUCGUGGUCAUACUUUCCUAGUGUGCCGGCGCCUGGAGUGAAGCUGUGCAUACAAUCACGUGCUGACUUACACGUUCUCUCCAAAUUUCUCAUUUGACAAACUCCC
This is a long non-coding RNA of Bos taurus (domestic cattle), 398 nucleotides long. The record is from Ensembl. NCBI's taxonomy places the organism in Eukaryota, Metazoa, Chordata, Mammalia, Artiodactyla, Bovidae.